This 541-nucleotide unclassified non-coding RNA is filed under the name Hevea brasiliensis (rubber tree). Lineage: Eukaryota; Viridiplantae; Streptophyta; Magnoliopsida; Malpighiales; Euphorbiaceae. The record is from RNAcentral.
AUUCUCAUAAAGGUUAAAUUACACUUGGUCCCAACAUCUGCUACAUUUACUAAAUAGCACGAGUAGAGAAUACUAGAUUAAACAAGUGUCACUGUGCACCCGAAGAAAACGAAAAAACGAAAAGCAAACUAGGAAGUAUAUUACAAGUUCUAAAGAAUCUAUUCACAGGCCAAUUUAGUGCCAAAACUGGUCAGGCAAAUUGCAAACGCUUGGAAAGCAGACAAAGGCUUCCUGUAGUCCAUUGUAAAAACAUCAUCUCCUACUUUUCCAAACUGGAGGAUAACUGUAUCCUCGUCACCUUUUCCAUCAGGUUGGCUUUGGUCCAUCGUUGCCACUAGCUGAAAGUUUUUCACAGAUGCAACGGUGACCCUUCCAUGGAAAUUUAAACACCAACAUUGCAAAUGCUCAUGCCAUCUUGGAGCUUUGUUUUUCAGAACUGUAGAGUUGGCUUCUGCGGAACCAACCAGCUUCUUCUUCAGAGCAUCCUGAGAUUUGUCCGAGGCAGCUUCUCCAGGACAGGGGCAAUUGAGCGAACAAAUCA